Triticum aestivum (bread wheat) is the source of this 2115-nucleotide RNA transcript. It is a transcript of the gene named pentatricopeptide repeat-containing protein At1g31790, with no coding region annotated. NCBI's taxonomy places the organism in Eukaryota, Viridiplantae, Streptophyta, Magnoliopsida, Poales, Poaceae. The record is from RefSeq and is a predicted model, not a curated record. The transcript is spliced from 4 exons.
UUGAGCAAGCCGUAGCGACUGGACAUGGCGCGCUGCUCCCCGGCGAAGCCGCUUUGCACCACCGCCGCGGCCCCGCGCCCCUCUCGCCGCCGCGGUCUGCUCAUCAGCGCCUCUGCUUCCCCGGCCACGACAUCAACAAGAACGCACCGGCUGUUGGCCCUACCGAAGCCGCCUAAACCACCGCCGCCGCCGCCUCUCCUCCCGCGCCCAAGGCUCCCCAUCUCCAACGACGCCCCCACCAACGGCAAGCCAGACGACCGCCGUGAACCAUCGACGGGCGCGGCGUCCUCUGGCUCUGGGUCGUCCUCGGGCGCCGGAGACGUGCUCCGCCUCAUGGGCUUGCUCCGCGUCGCGCCCGACGAGGACGUCUACGUCUCCCUCCUCAGGGACUCCGUCGAUGCCGCUGAGGUAGCCACCGUGCACGCCCACGUCGCCGCCACACGCGCCGCGUCUGGCCUCCCCCUGCCGCUAGCCAACCGGCUGCUACUCGCCUACGCGACCUGUGGCGACAUGGCGGCCGCCCGCAAGGUGUUCGACGAAAUUCCCGUCAAGGACGGCAUCACGUGGGCGACCAUGGUGUCGGCCUACUCCGAUGGGUGUUUCCACGACGAAGCGAUAAGGCUUUUCACCCGCAUGUGCCAAGAAGAACAGGGGCUCGCUGGUGAUCUGCUCGGCCAUGCCAUUGUGGCAGUGCUGCGGUCAUGUGCUCGGCUGGGCAGACUAAGGGGCUUUGGUCAGCAGGUACACGCCCUCGUCAUCAAGACAAAGAGAGUCUGCGGUGAUACCGGUAGUUCGCUGCUGCAGCUGUACAUCGCAAGUAAUCAGCAUGACAGUGCGCGGCAAGUGCUUCAGGCGAUGAGGUGUUGUUCCCAGGAGCCAGUGCCCGAGGCAGCCUGGACUAGCUUCAUGACAGCUUGCCACCGAGACGGACUGCUGGACGAGGCCAUCUAUGUCUUCAGGGACAUGGUGUCCUCUGGAGUCCCUAGGAGCAGCUUCUCCCUGUCUACUAUCCUUGCAGUAUGUGCAGAAUCAGAGAACUGCAGGUGCUAUGGACAGCAAGUGCAUGGCGAUGCCAUCAAGCACGGCGUGGAAACAGACCAGUUCGUCAUGUCUGGGUUGGUCCACAUGUAUGCGAAGCAAGGACGGCUUGCAGAUGCCACGAGGGCAUUUGAGGCAGUGGGUGGCAAGCCUGACGCUGUGUGCUGGAAUGCCAUGGCCAUGGGGUAUGCACGCGGUGGGCGGUACAGAGAGGCCACCAGAAUGAUGUACCAGAUGAAAGCUGCUGGACUGGACCUUCCUGGACUAAAUGUGGUUGGAAUGGCCUGCUCCAGUUGAAGACUAACCUGCAUGGAAUGCAAGCAUUAAGUGGAGGUCAGUAUCUAGCAAUUGGAAAACAUCUAUUCUGGCCUGCAACAGGUGAUUAAGAGGAAGAGUUCUAUGCCAUGACAUGGUUUAGCAAUUGGGCUGUAGAUGGCGAUCACAAUUCACAGCUCACAGGACUCUUUGGAGACGGAAGACUUAUCUUCUGAAGUCAGCUGAAGGGAUGAUGCCAGUUGGUGGCAUCUGAAGUCCAAAGUGUGCAGGCCAUGAACUUUGAGUACUAGUGAUGCGACUUGUUCUUCCUUCUCUGCCGCGGCAACAUAUAUAGAUAUGUGUUACCUGCAUUACGCCGAUCCGAAUGAAGGCGGCUCCAAGGAUGUUGUACUGCUGUGCCGACGCCUAAGCAGACUGCAACCUGCAGGGUGUUUGACCUGUGAGUCUUAGGUGGCUGGCGAGCAAACCAAGAAGGAGAUGGUCUAAUGGGGUGGUGCGGGUGUUUGUUUCGAUCAGACAGCAAUUUGCCACACGCACGCGAACAUAAUUGAUUUGGUUUAGGAGCAGCUUGGUGGUGUUGUACUCAGCUGACAUCUUUAAUCCGGCCUCGCUCUCGAACUGGUGCGGGCUUGUGCGCUUGCCCUUUCUGGCUUUCUGGCUGCCACUAGCUAGCUCUAGCUUUUGUGCACUUGGCCUUGAAAUUUUCGUUUGCUCAAGGGUAGACUUGUUUUGUUCUGCCCAGUUUUAGUCUCAUGUAUCCAAUGAACCAGAAACCUGGCAGGUCCUGAUAAAUUUGUUGAA